This 329-nucleotide ribosomal RNA is filed under the name uncultured eukaryote. Its description in RNAcentral is "partial 18S ribosomal RNA". It matches the Rfam family "Eukaryotic small subunit ribosomal RNA", at positions 1470 to 1796 of the family's 1831-position model. The record is from RNAcentral.
CCCUUAGAUGUUCUGGGCCGCACGCGCGCUACACUGACGAUGGCAACGAGUUUUUCCUUCGCCGAAAGGUGUGGGUAAUCUUUUGAAACAUCGUCGUGCUGGGGAUAGAUCAUUGCAAUUUUUGAUCUUGAGCGAGGAAUUCCUAGUAAGCGCGAGUCAUCAGCUCGCGUUGAUUACGUCCCUGCCCUUUGUACACACCGCCCGUCGCUACUACCGAUUGAAUGGUUUAGUGAGGACUCCUGAUUGGCGCCGCCGCCCCGGCAACGGAGCAGCGGACUGCCGAAAAGUUGUUCAAACUUGAUCAUUUAGAGGAAGUAAAAGUCGUAACA